RNAcentral lists this long non-coding RNA (5612 nucleotides) under Sus scrofa (pig). Its description in RNAcentral is "lncRNA (ENSSSCG00025068054.1)". The record is from RNAcentral. Lineage: Eukaryota; Metazoa; Chordata; Mammalia; Artiodactyla; Suidae.
CGAAAUGAAAAGUAAUUCAGAAAUGCAAUUUAGCGAUGACCUCUCCUCUGGGUGGCUAUGAAAAACAGCCUUGUUUUCUUUUUAUAAAGAAAUGCUGGCAUGCUUGACUUUAGUGAAUCAAGAGAAUUGUUUGGCAAAUAACAGUGAUGGUGUGUGUCCUUGUCAGAACACCUGCUGUAUUCUCCCAGCAAACACUGGGGCCACGGCGUCUCUCCUCUAAUGACACCUCAUCAAUCCGCUCCUAUCAAUGUCCCAGCCAUGGAGGUGACUUCGAGUGCUCAGAAGCCUUAGAAAAUGUCAACGUUUUGGGAGAAAAGGUGAGGAAAAAGAGACAAGAGUUUGGCAGCAAGUAACUUCCAGAGCUGGGAAUCAAGCUAAGCUUGCUGACAUGGUGUAUCCUGAAAUGGAGAGAGUUAAAUGAAGAAUUUGAAAUCCUCCUAAGGCCAGAAACCUGCGCGUGCUUUGGAUAUUGGAAAUCCAGAUGUGAUAACCAGAGCUCAGCAGCUUCAUUUUCACCUUGAGAAUGGAUGUUAAACAUGGUAAGAUGAUAACAUAAGCUGUUACGUGAAAGAGCCAGAUCCAGGAGAUGGUGAAGCUAAGGUAGGAGCCCAGAGAGGGCUAUAUUCAUAUUUUAACAUGAGAAAUUAAAUCUUUAGUGAUUAAACCUUGAGUUUUUGGCAUUCUAUUACCCUCAGUCAAAUGCAAUUUAAAACUGACACAGAGCUAAAUGAAGAAAACAAACAAACAAAAAUGUUAAAAGUGACAUUCAUUUUUUUUAAAUGUGUGUAAGAUUAAGGAAAACUGUAUUUGAAAGUCAUUUUAAUUAAGUAUACAAUCUACCUGGUUCUUGGCAAAAAUAACACAAAAUUUUAAAAGUAUUAACAUGGCAACAUUGUGAUAUACAUGUUGUCACUUGACAGAGCUGAGUCUGAACUUUUGGAAAUGAUCUCUUUUGGCUUUUAGAACACUGCCAUUGCCAGCAGCAACUUAUAAUUGUAUGACUUUUCCUUAGUCAUCUUUGGAUCAUCUUCCUUCAUACACUUUCAAAGGCUGUAGCUCCUCGAUGUUUAAUUCUCAACCUUUCCUCUUCUCCUUAGUAUAUAUUCCUGGGCGAACUCCUCAGAUGACACAGAAUAUCUACUAUUGGAUUUAUGGGUUUAUGAGCCAGGACUCAAACCUAUAUGUCUAAUGAGCAUCCUUUAGGAAUUUCAAAAUUACCACUGUAUAAACAUCUCCUUUAUUUUUAUUUUCAUUUUCUAUCCCAGCCUCCUCAAUAUGCUUCUCCUAAAAUAUCCCCCAGUUUAAUUAACCACUGACCUCACCUAAACUAGAUUCUUAGUCUCCUAUUUCUUUUCUCUCCCAUUCAUGACUAAUCAGUCAUUAACUGCCACCUCAGACUUGGAGGCUGGAUUGCUUUUCCUUCUCUCUGCAUAAUAGGAUUUUGAGUUAGAUUAUUCAUCCUGGAACAGUCUCAUGACCAACUUCUUCCAACCACUUAUUUCUCCUUCUCAUAGUUCAUUCUCUACUCAUAGCUCGUGGGACCACUGUUUACCUAUAAAACAAAAUUCUAAAUACAGUCAUGUUUAUUGAUUGCUCAUUGCCUACAAGCCAUUGUUCAGAUUUCUUGUCUUGUCAGGGAAGUUUCCCUUAUGACAUAUCUUCAAUGAUAAGUUCUAUGCCCCAGCCUAACUGAAGUUCCUCAAGUACACUGUGUCUUUCAUACUUUCUGAAGCAUUCUCUUGUCUCUGCCUAAAGCUUCAUCUUUUUUCUCCAUUUUCUUUGUCUAUUGUGCUCUUUUACAUAAUUCCAAAUUUAUAUUAAAAGUUGAUUUUCUUGCAAUGCCUUGAUCAAUUCUACUACAGAGUUGGUUAUUUUCUUAUCUGUGGUACCAUAAAAUCUAGGAUAGUACUUACAAUACUAUAGUAUAUAGUUUAUGAUCUGUGAGUUUAUGAAUUUAUCUUCCAUAUUGAACUUGAAGUUCUUGAGGCCAUAGGCAUUUUUAAGCAUUAUUUCUCUUUUCUUCCUGAGCUUUAAAAAAAGAUGUUAAUUGAAAAGAUCUCUCUUUUUUCUAUGUAAUGGAUACAAUAGAACUGUACUUAAUCUUUAGAUUUAUAAGACGGGUACUCAGCAGUGGUGCACAGAGGUGUAAAUUGUUUUUUAAAACAGAUUUUUUUCCUGGCCAAGUCUAAUACUUAAAAGACACAUAUUCAUGAAGAUAUGUUGCAACUUUAGAAUGGACAAAAGUAAGUGUCUAUAGCUUUUAUUAAAACAAAAUUCAUUCAAAUUAUCUCAGUUUGACCAAACCCUCUAGUCUUAAAACAAAUAUGUCAGAGAAAAAUGUACCUGUAGGUCAAUUUUCUAUGAUUAGUAUGACAUUUCACUGUCCACAGAAUUUAAAUGGGUCUUCACAUCUUAGUUUCAAAGUUUGAAGAGGUUGAUCCAUGCAUUUUACUUUUAUCUGCACUGAUUGUAUUGCUUCUGAAAAAGACUACAUUUUUAGCUUUGAAGUCUAGAUCCUGAUUUAGCCAAAGAAGAGGAUAAGAGAAACAGCUUCAGUUGGGUUUUUCAUUUACAGAACAACCUGACCUGAUUUUGAAGCUGAGUGAGUAUGAAGGAGAUAAUUUUCAAUCCCUGUUAACUCCAUUUGGAUGACUAGGGCACUGACCUCCUAAAAAGGAACCAACAAAAACUUUACAAAAUCCUAAUAGCAAUCAUCCACAGUUAUAUUUUCAAUCAUACCAAGUAUCAGAAAUAGAUUUUUUAAAAAAUGCCAGACCAUUAGUAAAUUCCCCUGUCCCUUCCUCAAAUCAGUCAACUUCUCUAUAAAAUGUAGUGGUAUCCUCAGCAAUAGCCCCUCCUAUUUCUUUUCUAAAGAAAGUUUGCAACAUCAAAAUGAAAUCAAGUAAGAAAUUAAAAUGGGCUAUAAUAUGCUACAAGAUAUGAUGUUAUAUUUGUUUCUUGGCUUGAUAAUAAUAUGACUUCUUUCAAGGAAACUCAAAUUUUAAAAAUAAAUAAUUGGCUCCUAAAAAUAGCAUUUAUUACCAAUAAUUGUCUAUGUUUCUCUUUUCAUAAUAUUACUACUAUAUAUCAUCACCCAUACUCUACUAGCUAAGGGUCAAAAUAAUCAUUUGUCUAAUAACUAUUUAAAAUAUCAGAGAUUUUGGCCCCAUGAAUCUAAAUAUUGCAGAUAAAAAAAAUAAAAUAAUGCUGAUAAAUACAAUACACUACUUGCAUUAUCCAGGCUGUUACAGUGCUCAGUUAUGAAAAUAUAUCUUAAUAAAAUUUUCAUUUUUAUUUACAUAAUAGUGUGCAUUACAAAUACCAAAAAUAUCUUGAGCUGUUUACUUGAAGAAAUCAGCAUUUUGGAAAUACAUGUAGAGUUUUAGCUUAGGAACUGUGCUUAUAUGUGAUAAGUUUAUAUGUAUAUAAGUGAUAACAUUCAGCAAGUGCCCAAAAUACCAAAAUAUACAUGGUUAUAACAUCUCAAUUUUAGAUUUUAUUUUUAUUAAUAUGAAUGUAUACUUGUCACUUUAAGUAUCUGCCCAUGUAAUUACAUUUUGUUUUAUAUGAAUAGUGAGUCUUCCUUAAUAAAUAAAAUUUUACAGAUUGAUCAACUGAAUAGACAAAUGGACAGUGGUAAGACUAUAUAAAAAUAGAACUCUCACAGUAGAAUGUAUAUAGAAUAUCAUAUAAUUAUCCUUCUUAAUAUUUUUCAAUCCUUGAUAUGCUUUGUAAAUUCUUCACAUUAGUAACUAUAGCUGAUUUAAACUACAGUAUAGUAUUUAAAUCUAUAACUAUAUUAAAUUCUUUUUUCUAUUAGUGGGCACUUAGAUUUUUUCAUUUCUUAUGAUUGUCAGCAAUGCUUUGGUAAAUCUCCUUGUAGAUUUCUUUUUGUCCAUAUUUUACAUGUGUGAGAAUUUCUUUAGUGUCCAUACCUACUAGUGGAAUUGUUGGGCCUUAUAAUAUGGGCUUCUUCAACUUAAUAUAAUAUUGUAAAAUUACUCAAUGUAAUUGUAUCUAUUCUAAAAUCAAUUGUACAUGUUACUUAUAUCCUCUGACUUUUAAAAUUUUGCUAAUCUGAUGGCUGUUAAAUUGUAUGCCACUGUCAUUUUUAUUUGCACUUCCCUAUUGAAAUUUAGCAUCCUUUCAAAUACUUAUUAGCAAUUUCCAGUUUGUCUGGAAGAAGUCAUUUGACCAUUUCCUGUUGCACAUUUAUCUUUUCUCAUUGAUUUGCAAAUGAGAAAAUUCACUGGACAACUUAAACAGAUAAAGAAGAUUUUGUUCAAGACUAUUCCACUAAAAGAAAGAGAUUGAACUCAAUUCUGUGAAACAAAAUAGGGAAGAAUUUUUAAGUACUGGGAUGAGCUAGUGGAAAAAUAAUGGAUGAUAUUAUGAGUAAUGGUCUAACAAAAGGGAGAUUCUGGACUUAUAGUGAGGAAGAAACCUGUAUCAAGUUUAGUGAAGCCAAGGGGAAUGAGAAACAUGAAGUCCUUUUUGGUCAUAAUAAAUAAAACUCAUAUAUAAGAGUUUUUAAUUUCUAGAUAUAAAUUCUUUUCUGGACUUUUAAUUUUUCUUAUGUGGGUCAUUUUUACUGAAAAAAAUUCAAGUAUUACUGAAUCAGAUUUGUCAACACUUUCCUUGAUGGUUUGUGCUUGGAAUUAAUGCAGCAGUAGAAAUAUUUUUGGGUACUUUCACCUUGGAAAGGAUUUGAAGCUUACACUGGCAAUGUAGUCAGAAGAAGUAAAUUAAAACUGAAAAACUAUACAGUAUUUUUGCUCCUAAACUUGAAACUAAUGCAUACUGUUGUGUUUCCAGGUAACAUUUUGAUUCUUUUUAUCUUUUGCAUAUUUAUAUGGAUAUUUCUAUCUAGAUAUAUAAAGCAUGAAAAAAAUGCGAUUUUAUUCAAUACUACCAAGGCAUGUAAUAUACAUACAAUAUAAUGUAUUUGUUAUAAACAUACAGUUUGAUGAGUUUUGACAAAAGCAUACACUGUAUAAAAACCACUCUCAUCAGGAUAUAGAAUAUUUUUAUCACCCCAAAGAGUUUUCCUUGCUCUUUGUUAUCCCCUGAACCCCGCUUCAUACCUUGCUCCCCCCUCCCCUCACUGGCCUGCUAGCAAUCACUGAUCUGCUUUGUAUCACUACAAGUCAGUUUCUCCAUUUCUAGUCUAACACACACAUGAAAUUUUAUAGUAUGGACUCCUUUGUAUCUGGCUUCUACUAGCAUGUUUUAGCAGUUCAAUCAUGUUAUACAUAUAGUAGUAUUUUUUGAUUGAUGAGUUUUAUACCCUUAUAUGGAUAUACCAAUAUUUGUUUAUCCAGUCCAUAGACAUGGAGUUGUUUUCAGUUUGGGGCCAUUAUGACUAAUGGUAUUAUGCUUAUGUAAGUAUAAGUAUUUCCAGAAGUUCCCGUUGUGGCUCAGGAGGUUAAGAAUGCAAUUAGUAUCCAUGAGGAUGUAGGUUCAAUCCCUGACCUCUCUCAGGGGGUUAGCAAGCCAUGGCAUAGGUGCAGAUGUGGCUCGAAUCUGGCAUUGCUGUGGCUGUGGUGUAGGCCAGCAGCUGCAGUUCCAAUUUUGACCCCAGCCUGGGAACCUUCAUAUGCCACAGGUGCAGC